UCCUCGUUAGUAUAGUGGUCAGUAUCCCCGCCUGUCACGCGGGAGACCGGGGUUCGAUUCCCUGACGGGGAG
This 72-nucleotide transfer RNA is filed under the name Dermacentor silvarum. Its description in RNAcentral is "transfer RNA aspartic acid (anticodon GUC)". It matches the Rfam family "tRNA". From Rfam's summary of the family: Transfer RNA (tRNA) molecules are approximately 80 nucleotides in length. Their secondary structure includes four short double-helical elements and three loops (D, anti-codon, and T loops). Further hydrogen bonds mediate the characteristic L-shaped molecular structure. tRNAs have two regions of fundamental functional importance: the anti-codon, which is responsible for specific mRNA codon recognition, and the 3' end, to which the tRNAs corresponding amino acid is attached (by aminoacyl-tRNA synthetases). tRNAs cope with the degeneracy of the genetic code in two manners: having more than one tRNA (with a specific anti-codon) for a particular amino acid; and 'wobble' base-pairing, i.e. permitting non-standard base-pairing at the 3rd anti-codon position. Lineage: Eukaryota; Metazoa; Arthropoda; Arachnida; Ixodida; Ixodidae. The record is from RNAcentral.